Molecule: long non-coding RNA, 310 nt
Filed under: Physcomitrium patens
Lineage: Eukaryota; Viridiplantae; Streptophyta; Bryopsida; Funariales; Funariaceae
Description: long non-coding RNA (PPAT_LNC008495)
Source: RNAcentral
AAAGUCAAGUUUGUUUUCGGAUGACUUGGGUUUUGUGAAAUAAAAUAGGGUUGAUAUUUUUAGUGAUUUCAAGAGUUUUAUAAUAGAUCUAUAAGUGAAAUUUUUUAGGUUAAUUUUCAUAGUUGUGCUUAAUAUGUGUUGUAAAUCUUAGCUCGAUUUAAUAGUUGAAUUGAGGAUUAUUGAGGUUUAAGUGGGUCAAGGUCUUAGAAAGUAGAAUUUGAGGUCUAGUGAGGGUUUUUAAGAUUUCUUGCAAUCAACUAGUUGGAUUGGAGUGAAAUUUAUGUGUGAGGAUAUUAGACUUAUUUUUCUA